UAAUGCAUAGGAAUCUGCCCGAUAGUGGGGGAUAACCUGGGGAAACCCAGGCUAAUACCGCAUACGUCCUACGGGAGAAAGGGGGCUCCGGCUCCCGCUAUGGGAUGAGCCUAUGUCGGAUUAGCUAGUUGGUGAGGUAACGGCUCACCAAGGCGACGAUCCGUAGCUGGUCUGAGAGGAUGAUCAGCCACAUCGGGACUGAGACACGGCCCGAACUCCUACGGGAGGCAGCAGUGGGGAAUAUUGGACAAUGGGGGAAACCCUGAUCCAGCCAUGCCGCGUGUGUGAAGAAGGCCCUCGGGUUGUAAAGCACUUUCAGCGAGGAAGAACGCCUAGCGGUUAAUACCCGCUAGGAAAGACAUCACUCGCAGAAGAAGCACCGGCUAACUCCGUGCCAGCAGCCGCGGUAAUACGGAGGGUGCAAGCGUUAAUCGGAAUUACUGGGCGUAAAAGCGCGCGUAGGUGGCUUGAUAAGCCGGUUGUGAAAGCCCCGGGCUCAACCUGGGGAACGGCAUCCGGAACUGUCAAGCUAGAGUGCAGGGAGAGGAAAGGUAGAAUUCCCGGGUGUAGCGGGUGAAAUGCGUAGAGAUCCGGGAGGGAAUACCAGUGGCGAAGGCGGCCUUUCUGGACUGACACUGACACUGAGGUGCGAAAGCGUGGGGUAGCAAACAGGGAUU
This 677-nucleotide ribosomal RNA is filed under the name Vreelandella aquamarina. RNAcentral describes it as "bacterial SSU rRNA". It matches the Rfam family "Bacterial small subunit ribosomal RNA", at positions 111 to 779 of the family's 1533-position model. Lineage: Bacteria; Pseudomonadati; Pseudomonadota; Gammaproteobacteria; Oceanospirillales; Halomonadaceae. The record is from RNAcentral.